RNAcentral lists this ribosomal RNA (308 nucleotides) under Vibrio cholerae. RNAcentral's name for it is "partial 23S ribosomal RNA". It matches the Rfam family "Bacterial large subunit ribosomal RNA", at positions 884 to 1192 of the family's 2925-position model. The record is from RNAcentral. Lineage: Bacteria; Pseudomonadati; Pseudomonadota; Gammaproteobacteria; Vibrionales; Vibrionaceae.
GGACGAAUACUACUGGGGGUAGAGCACUGUUAAGGCUAGGGGGUCAUCCCGACUUACCAACCCUUUGCAAACUCCGAAUACCAGUAAGUACUAUCCGGGAGACACACGGCGGGUGCUAACGUCCGUCGUGGAGAGGGAAACAACCCAGACCGCCAGCUAAGGUCCCAAAGUAUUGCUAAGUGGGAAACGAUGUGGGAAGGCUCAGACAGCUAGGAUGUUGGCUUAGAAGCAGCCAUCAUUUAAAGAAAGCGUAAUAGCUCACUAGUCGAGUCGGCCUGCGCGGAAGAUGUAACGGGGCUAAGCAAUAC